CAUGGAUGUUUCAAAUCAAAGGACAUUGCUCAAAAUCUCUUUCUUCAUUAACAACUGUAGAGAUUUCGUCGUUCAAGCACUGAAUGGAUGGAAUGGAACAAUAGGGUAGUGACCAGAAUGAAAUUAUUAUUUUUAAGACACAUGUGAAUUUUAUCAUUUCCAUUUUUUCCUUAAUUACAUUUGCUACACAAAAGGGCUCGAAAGCUAUGUAGGUUAUCAAAUAUAAUAUAGUAUUAGAAACAGCAUGUGAAUGUUGCGUGAGUCUCAACUGGAUGUUGAAUUGGUUUGUCUGUAUUUUCGGAGAAACGAUCCAUCAAGACCUCUUCAAAUCGUAAGUGUUUUCAGAAAUGAGGGCUGAAAGUCUCAAGACCUUCAAUAACUUGACAAAAACCCACUUAUUUUCAACUCCUACAUCAGUAUCUCUGAAAGUAGUUUUAAAUUUCAAAAUAAAUAGGUCCUGACUAAGUUCUAAAGAUAUAUGUUGCAGCUUGUUUCAUAUGACUUUUCUAUAUGGCUUACUAAAUUACUACAUUCUUUUCUAUAAGGUAAAAUGAUUAACCAGGAAGCAAAUAUUCUUCACCAAAUCGUGAAAUAGAUGAUUGAUUUAUAGUUGAAUAAAAUUGACCUGUUAUGCACCUGAUUUAUUGUGAAAAUGAUAUGUCUGAAAAAAAUAAUAUCCAUCAAAAUUGGUUGCUAAUGCAUAUAAAAAUAAUUUGUAUGCGUACUCAUACUUGACAAUAAAUAACAUUUCCUAAUUUAGUUUAUGUGUUAGUAAUUAUGACUACUAAUGAAAUUUGUCUUGAGUAUGUUGAUUUUGUAGCAAAUUAUUGAAAUGUCGAUGUUUUGACUUUCCUGUGUCUAAUAAUCAUGAACUGAAUCUGAUGGCUUUGCUCUAACAAUAAACACUUAUUUGUU
This is a long non-coding RNA of Leptinotarsa decemlineata (Colorado potato beetle), 915 nucleotides long. The record is from RefSeq and is a predicted model, not a curated record. NCBI's taxonomy places the organism in Eukaryota, Metazoa, Arthropoda, Insecta, Coleoptera, Chrysomelidae.